Molecule: transfer RNA, 72 nt
Filed under: Ailuropoda melanoleuca (giant panda)
Lineage: Eukaryota; Metazoa; Chordata; Mammalia; Carnivora; Ursidae
Rfam family: tRNA
About the family: Transfer RNA (tRNA) molecules are approximately 80 nucleotides in length. Their secondary structure includes four short double-helical elements and three loops (D, anti-codon, and T loops). Further hydrogen bonds mediate the characteristic L-shaped molecular structure. tRNAs have two regions of fundamental functional importance: the anti-codon, which is responsible for specific mRNA codon recognition, and the 3' end, to which the tRNAs corresponding amino acid is attached (by aminoacyl-tRNA synthetases). tRNAs cope with the degeneracy of the genetic code in two manners: having more than one tRNA (with a specific anti-codon) for a particular amino acid; and 'wobble' base-pairing, i.e. permitting non-standard base-pairing at the 3rd anti-codon position.
Source: Rfam by way of RNAcentral
GCCUGGCUGGCUCAGUCCAUAGAGCAUGCGACUCUUGAUCUCCCGUCAUGAGUUCAAGCCCCAUGUUGGGUG